Molecule: ribosomal RNA, 497 nt
Filed under: uncultured bacterium
Lineage: Bacteria
Description: partial 16S ribosomal RNA
Rfam family: Bacterial small subunit ribosomal RNA
Source: RNAcentral
GAUGAACGCUGGCGGCGUGCCUAAUACAUGCAAGUCGAGCGAACAGACGAGGAGCUUGCUCCUCUGACGUUAGCGGCGGACGGGUGAGUAACACGUGGAUAACCUACCUAUAAGACUGGGAUAACUUCGGGAAACCGGAGCUAAUACCGGAUAACAUGUUGAACCGCAUGGUUCAACAGUGAAAGACGGUCUUGCUGUCACUUAUAGAUGGAUCCGCGCCGCAUUAGCUAGUUGGUAAGGUAACGGCUUACCAAGGCAACGAUGCGUAGCCGACCUGAGAGGGUGAUCGGCCACACUGGAACUGAGACACGGUCCAGACUCCUACGGGAGGCAGCAGUAGGGAAUCUUCCGCAAUGGGCGAAAGCCUGACGGAGCAACGCCGCGUGAGUGAAGAAGGUCUUCGGAUCGUAAAACUCUGUUAUUAGGGAUGAACAAAUGUGUAAGUAACUAUGCACGUCUUGACGGUACCUAAUCAGAAAGCCACGGCUAACUACGUG